GAUGAAGAACGUAGCGAAAUGCGAUAAGUAAUGUGAAUUGCAGAAUUCAGUGAAUCAUCGAAUCUUUGAACGCACAUUGCGCCCUCUGGUAUUCCGGGGGGCAUGCCUGUUCGAGCGUCAUUAUAACCACUCAAGCUCUCGCUUGGUAUUGGGGUUCGCGGUUUCGCGGCCCCUAAAAUCAGUGGCGGUGCCUGUCGGCUCUACGCGUAGUAAUACUUCUCGCGAUUGAGUUCGAUAGGUCUACUUGCCAGUAACCCCCAAUUUUUACAGGUUGACCUCGGAUCAGGUAGGGAUACCCGCUGAACUUAAGAAUAUCAAUAAGCGGAGGA
RNAcentral lists this unclassified non-coding RNA (329 nucleotides) under soil metagenome. RNAcentral's name for it is "partial contains 5.8S ribosomal RNA, internal transcribed spacer 2, and large subunit ribosomal RNA". The stretch from base 1 to 120 matches the Rfam family "5.8S ribosomal RNA", at positions 35 to 154 of the family's 154-position model. The record is from RNAcentral.